RNAcentral lists this ribosomal RNA (301 nucleotides) under uncultured bacterium. Its description in RNAcentral is "partial 16S ribosomal RNA". It matches the Rfam family "Bacterial small subunit ribosomal RNA", at positions 509 to 807 of the family's 1533-position model. The record is from RNAcentral.
CAGUAGCCGCGGUAAUACAGAGGAUGCAAGCGUUAUCCGGAAUUAUUGGGCGUAAAGGGCUCGCAGGCGGUUUCUUAAGUCUGAUGUGAAAGCCCCCGGCUCAACCGGGGAGGGUCAUUGGAAACUGGGAAACUUGAGUGCAGAAGAGGAGAGUGGAAUUCCACGUGUAGCGGUGAAAUGCGUAGAGAUGUGGAGGAACACCAGUGGCGAAGGCGACUUUCUGGUCUGUAGCUGACGCUGAGGAGCGAAAGCGUGGGGAGCGAACAGGAUUAGAGACCCCUGUAGUCCCUGUCUCUUAUAC